CCUACGGGAGGCAGCAGUAGGGAAUUUUCGGCAAUGGGGGGAACCCUGACCGAGCAACGCCGCGUGAACGAAGAAGUUAUUCGUAAUGUAAAGUUCUUUUAACAGGGAAGCAAGAGAAAUUUGACGGUACCUGAAGAAUAAGCUCCGGCUAACUACGUGCCAGCAGCCGCGGUAAUACGUAGGGGUCGAGCGUUAUCCGGAUUUACUGGGUGUAAAGGUAGCGUAGACGGCUGGUCAAGUCUGAAGUGAAAGCCUGGGGCUUAACCCCGGAACGGCUUUGGAAACUGAGCAGCUAGAGUGCUGGAGAGGUAAGCGGAAUUCCUAGUGUAGCGGUGAAAUGCGUAGAUAUUAGGAGGAACACCAGUGGCGAAGGCGGCUUACUGGACAGUAACUGACGUUGAGGCUCGAAAGCGUGGGGAGCAAACAGGAUUAGAUACCCCUGUAGUC
RNAcentral lists this ribosomal RNA (447 nucleotides) under uncultured bacterium. RNAcentral's name for it is "partial 16S ribosomal RNA". It matches the Rfam family "Bacterial small subunit ribosomal RNA", at positions 338 to 795 of the family's 1533-position model. The record is from RNAcentral.